GGGGUUGUAGCUCAGUGGUAGAGCACUAACCUAGCAUGUGUGAGGCUCUGGGUUCAAUCCUCAGCACCACA
Molecule: transfer RNA, 71 nt
Filed under: Marmota monax (woodchuck)
Lineage: Eukaryota; Metazoa; Chordata; Mammalia; Rodentia; Sciuridae
Description: tRNA.Ala
Rfam family: tRNA
About the family: Transfer RNA (tRNA) molecules are approximately 80 nucleotides in length. Their secondary structure includes four short double-helical elements and three loops (D, anti-codon, and T loops). Further hydrogen bonds mediate the characteristic L-shaped molecular structure. tRNAs have two regions of fundamental functional importance: the anti-codon, which is responsible for specific mRNA codon recognition, and the 3' end, to which the tRNAs corresponding amino acid is attached (by aminoacyl-tRNA synthetases). tRNAs cope with the degeneracy of the genetic code in two manners: having more than one tRNA (with a specific anti-codon) for a particular amino acid; and 'wobble' base-pairing, i.e. permitting non-standard base-pairing at the 3rd anti-codon position.
Source: RNAcentral